GAGCCAGCUCAGCCCAGCGGUUCCAUCAACCAACACAUAGCUUAGAUCCUGCAAUCGCCCACAGCAGUUUGAAACCCGUUGGUGCUGCCUGGCUUU
RNAcentral lists this vault RNA (96 nucleotides) under Podarcis muralis (Common wall lizard). RNAcentral describes it as "Vault RNA (ENSPMRG00000004030.1)". It matches the Rfam family "Vault RNA". From Rfam's summary of the family: This family of RNAs are found as part of the enigmatic vault ribonucleoprotein complex. The complex consists of a major vault protein (MVP), two minor vault proteins (VPARP and TEP1), and several small untranslated RNA molecules. The record is from RNAcentral. Lineage: Eukaryota; Metazoa; Chordata; Lepidosauria; Squamata; Lacertidae.